This 533-nucleotide ribosomal RNA is filed under the name uncultured archaeon. Its description in RNAcentral is "bacterial SSU rRNA". It matches the Rfam family "Bacterial small subunit ribosomal RNA", at positions 509 to 1050 of the family's 1533-position model. The record is from RNAcentral.
CAGCCGCCGCGGUAAUACGUAGGGGGCGAGCGUUGUCCGGAUUUAUUGGGCGUAAAGCGUGUGUAGGUGGUUUAUUAAGUCUGAGGUUAAAGGCUGAAGCUCAACUUCAGUAUGCCUUGGAAACUAGUAGACUUGAGUAUAGUAGAGGCAAGUGGAAUUUCUAAUGUAGCGGUAAAAUGCGUAGAUAUUAGAAGGAACACCAGUGGCGAAGGCGACUUGCUGGGCUAUUACUGACGCUGAGACACGAAAGCGUGGGGAGCAAAUAGGAUUAGAUACCCUAGUAGUCCACGCCGUAAACGAUGAGUACUAAGUGUCGGAAUUUCCGGUGCUGAAGUUAACACAUUAAGUACUCCGCCUGUGUAGUACGGUCGCAAGGCUGAAACAUAAAGGAAUUGACGGGCACCCGCACAAGCGGUGGAGCGUGCUGUUUAAUUCGAAGGUACUCGAAGAACCUUACCUGGGUUUGACAUCCCACAGAUCACCCUAGAAAUAGGGUUUCCCUUCGGGGCUGUGGUGACAGGAGGUGCAUGGCC